This 73-nucleotide transfer RNA is filed under the name Fibrobacterota bacterium. RNAcentral describes it as "Fibrobacteres bacterium (aquatic metagenome) tRNA-Thr". It matches the Rfam family "tRNA". From Rfam's summary of the family: Transfer RNA (tRNA) molecules are approximately 80 nucleotides in length. Their secondary structure includes four short double-helical elements and three loops (D, anti-codon, and T loops). Lineage: Bacteria; Pseudomonadati; Fibrobacterota. The record is from RNAcentral.
GCCAACGUAGCUCAGUUGGUAGAGCAUCUGAUUUGUAAUCAGAGGGUCGUGGGUUCAAGUCCCUUCGUUGGCU